Long non-coding RNA from Carassius carassius (crucian carp), 680 nucleotides. RefSeq lists it as uncharacterized. The record is from RefSeq and is a predicted model, not a curated record. The transcript is spliced from 2 exons. NCBI's taxonomy places the organism in Eukaryota, Metazoa, Chordata, Actinopteri, Cypriniformes, Cyprinidae.
AAAAGAGACAUCAAUUCAAAAUAAAAUCAGAACAUUACAUUUCACAAUAUAUCAUGGGCAAUGGAAAAUCAAGGCCUCUGAUGACCCAGGACUCAAGAAAAAAUAUUAGAAGGAGAAAUAAAAAGCUCACUAAGCAUGACCCAGAUGAUGAAGUUCGUUUUGCAGAUGCCCUGCGGAAAAACAAACGGACGUCCACGAAAGACAAUAGUUUGGUUAAAUUAAAUUUUCCAAGAAGCAAUCGCAUCCGUUACUGCCAUCUAUCAUCAGCACGGUCCAACCAGGAACAAUUUUCAAAGCAGAGCUGGGAAAUGUGCAACCUUGCCUUUGUAGAUGAGAAAAAUCCACAAAGCUGACAGACCUCGUUCAGUUCACAGUGAAUAUACUGACGCCUAAUGGAAAUGUCAGGACCUCGUGGAAACUUAAAAGAUUUAGAUGGCUAUGUGAUUUGGAAAUAUUUUUGGAAAUAUUCAGAAACGUGUGUUCCCUUUAAACAUUUAAAUAAUUUCUGAGCAGUUUCUGUUUGUCUUUAAAACAGACUUUUCCCUUUGUUAUUGACAGCUGAAGCAAUAAAUUCAGAUUAAUUGAAUUUCUGCAAACCAUGUUCAAACCAGCAUUAAAAAUAUGUUGUAUCUGAAAAAUAACCAUCUUGGAAAAUAAAUAAAUAAAAAAUCUUAAAUGUA